Molecule: long non-coding RNA, 854 nt
Organism: Crotalus tigris (Tiger rattlesnake)
Lineage: Eukaryota; Metazoa; Chordata; Lepidosauria; Squamata; Viperidae
Exons: 2
Source: RefSeq, a predicted model, not a curated record
GUUCCAUGAGAUUUUCUAACUUCUUGCAAGAAGUUAGAAAGUCUCAUGGAACUUUUUUUUUGUCUCACAAACACAUGAAGGCUGAGAAGAAAGGGAAUGCUGCUGAAAGCAGGUGAGUAAAAAAAAACACUUGUGGGAGAUGAGGGCAUCUGGAUGGGGGCGGGGGGGACCCAGGCAAUGCGUCAUGCAGCUCUAGCAGAAUCUCCACUGAAAACUGCUUGAGGCUGCCUGUUACCCACAAGGCCACCGCCAAUCAGCUGGAGCUCCAUGCUUUGAUCCUGGGCUCUCAGUAAGACCCAGGCAACAUGCAGUUCCAACUGACUUUGCCACAAGCUUGUGUGGCACUGCUGCCACAUCACCUCAUCCACUUUUACACUUUUUAAAUAUUUUUUUUACAUUUUUUUUACUAUUUUUUAACAUUUUUUUUCAACCCAUCCUAUGCGUACCACCAGCCAGGUACAGUGGUACGCGUACCACUGGUUGAAAAGCCCUGUCCUAGCAGAGUAAGGGCACCUCCUUUCAAGGGAACUCUGCCAACCAUUUUCAGACCAAAAAGGGGUCCAUGAGGUCCUGCUGCUCCCCUACACAAAGGGGGAGGAAUAUGCCAGGGGCCAUCUGCCUUAUCACCGCUCCAUUGUAAAGAUGAGGCUACGCCUGGGAAAUGUCUCUUAUCAUUCUGGUUUCCAAACCAACUUCGCACCUGUGGAUUGGCUGGAAACAAACAGGACAAUUGGGCUCUAGGAAGGAUUUUGAAAAGCGAUAUUUUAAUGUAGCAUUCUGCGCGGGAAUUCUUUAGAUCUUGCCUUGCCUUUCUGUUUUCACUGAUUCUCAAUAAAUGUUCCUGUUUGAAAGAA